GCGGGCUAAACCCUUAUACAAUCUCUUUUCUCCUUCUUUAUUUCUUCAUCUCCCUUAGGGUAAGGCGGACUAAACCCUGUCAAGGAGAUGAAAGAGAUCAGACGCCGUAAACACACGAGUGAAGAUUUGAAGUCUUUAUAGGCACGAACAAUAGGUUUUGGGAGGGUAUUUGGAUUGAAGAUGGUACUCUUAAAUCCAAUUUUUUGCUCUCUUUCCCCUGCGAUAAGGGAAAUAACAAAGACUCCACAGUUUGCAAUAUGAGGGCUAUGAAUAAUGGAAAAUUGGAAUGGAACCUUAACAUCUCUAGAAGGGUUCACAAUAAUGUUAUUGAGGAAAUUUCUGGCCUUCUUCCUAAACUUUCCUGGAAUGGCAAUAAGAAUUUGGGGCGUGGGAAAAGAUCAUCUAUAACUGCUAUUAGUUUGCUGUGUAACUGUGUGUUUCGGUUGAAGUCUUGAAGUAGGCUUUUAUACCUUGUUUCCUGUUUUUUCUUGGACGUCAGGCUGAUGCCAUCUGUCAGAUAUUUUUUCUUGGUGUUGUUUGUA
Molecule: long non-coding RNA, 542 nt
Organism: Papaver somniferum (opium poppy)
Lineage: Eukaryota; Viridiplantae; Streptophyta; Magnoliopsida; Ranunculales; Papaveraceae
Exons: 2
Source: RefSeq, a predicted model, not a curated record